Molecule: long non-coding RNA, 408 nt
Organism: Myotis myotis
Lineage: Eukaryota; Metazoa; Chordata; Mammalia; Chiroptera; Vespertilionidae
Exons: 3
Source: RefSeq, a predicted model, not a curated record
AUGUCAUAAUGCCUAUGUCAUUCACUGCAUUUCAUCUCAUCAUGUAGGCAUUGUGUCAUCUCACAUCAUCACAAGAAAAAGGGAAGAGAAUGCGUUGGCAUGCUGAUAUGAGUGUUUCUGCCUGAUGGCAGUUAUGAAGAUUCAUUUGUGGGAAAAACUUUCCUGGAAUAGAAGUAUUCAUGCUGGUGAUGUUUCCUGAAAAAAAAAAAAAAAUUAUUCCUGAUAAUAGGCUUCAGAGUGUCUGCCUAAUUCCCACUGAUCCACAUCUGUUCCAUAAAGAGACAUCUCUUUGGAAUCAGUGGGAUUUUAGAACAACUCAUCAAAGGGGGUAUGAAAAUCAGGUUGGGGGCAAAUUUUCACUUUGGAGCCAAAUACCUCUAUCGAAUAAUAAAACAAUCCAUAUGUUCA